This 460-nucleotide ribosomal RNA is filed under the name uncultured bacterium. RNAcentral describes it as "partial 16S ribosomal RNA". It matches the Rfam family "Bacterial small subunit ribosomal RNA", at positions 338 to 795 of the family's 1533-position model. The record is from RNAcentral.
CCUACGGGAGGCAGCAGUGAGGAAUAUUGGUCAAUGGGCGCGAGCCUGAACCAGCCAAGUAGCGUGAAGGAUGACUGCCCUACGGGUUGUAAACUUCUUUUAUAAAGGAAUAAAGUGAGGUACGGGUGCCUUUUUGGAUGUACUGUAUGAAUAAGGAUCGGAUAACUCCGUGCCAGCAGCCGCGGUAAUACGGAGGAUCCGAGCGUUAUCCGGAUUUAUUGGGUUUAAAGGGUGCGUAGAUGGGUUGUUAAGUCAGUUGUGAAAGUUUGAGGCUCAACCGUGAAAUUGCAAUUGAUACUGGCAGCCUAGAGUACAGUUGAGGUAGGCGGAAUGCAUGGUGUAGCGGUGAAAUGCUUAGAUAUCACGAAGAACUCCGAUUGCGAAGGCAGCCUACUAAGCUGCCACUGACAUUGAUGCUCGAAAGUGUGGGUAUCAAACAGGAUUAGAUACCCUGGUAGUC